UACGUAGGGUGCAAGCGUUGUCCGGAAUUAUUGGGCGUAAAGAGCUCGUAGGCGGUCUGACGCGUCGAAUGUGAAAACCCGGGGCUCAACCCCGGGCCUGCAUUCGAUACGGGCAGACUAGAGUUCGGUAGGGGAGUCUGGAAUUCCUGGUGUAGCGGUGAAAUGCGCAGAUAUCAGGAGGAACACCGGUGGCGAAGGCGGGACUCUGGGCCGAUACUGACGCUGAGGAGCGAAAGCGUGGGGAGCAAACAGG
This 253-nucleotide ribosomal RNA is filed under the name uncultured bacterium. RNAcentral describes it as "partial 16S ribosomal RNA". It matches the Rfam family "Bacterial small subunit ribosomal RNA", at positions 524 to 776 of the family's 1533-position model. The record is from RNAcentral.